Molecule: ribosomal RNA, 2259 nt
Filed under: Staphylococcus aureus
Lineage: Bacteria; Bacillati; Bacillota; Bacilli; Caryophanales; Staphylococcaceae
Description: bacterial LSU rRNA
Rfam family: Bacterial large subunit ribosomal RNA
Source: RNAcentral
AAGCGAGUCUGAAUAGGGCGUUUAGUAUUUGGUCGUAGACCCGAAACCAGGUGAUCUACCCUUGGUCAGGUUGAAGUUCAGGUAACACUGAAUGGAGGACCGAACCGACUUACGUUGAAAAGUGAGCGGAUGAACUGAGGGUAGCGGAGAAAUUCCAAUCGAACCUGGAGAUAGCUGGUUCUCUCCGAAAUAGCUUUAGGGCUAGCCUCAAGUGAUGAUUAUUGGAGGUAGAGCACUGUUUGGACGAGGGGCCCCUCUCGGGUUACCGAAUUCAGACAAACUCCGAAUGCCAAUUAAUUUAACUUGGGAGUCAGAACAUGGGUGAUAAGGUCCGUGUUCGAAAGGGAAACAGCCCAGACCACCAGCUAAGGUCCCAAAAUAUAUGUUAAGUGGAAAAGGAUGUGGCGUUGCCCAGACAACUAGGAUGUUGGCUUAGAAGCAGCCAUCAUUUAAAGAGUGCGUAAUAGCUCACUAGUCGAGUGACACUGCGCCGAAAAUGUACCGGGGCUAAACAUAUUACCGAAGCUGUGGAUUGUCCUUUGGACAAUGGUAGGAGAGCGUUCUAAGGGCGUUGAAGCAUGAUCGUAAGGACAUGUGGAGCGCUUAGAAGUGAGAAUGCCGGUGUGAGUAGCGAAAGACGGGUGAGAAUCCCGUCCACCGAUUGACUAAGGUUUCCAGAGGAAGGCUCGUCCGCUCUGGGUUAGUCGGGUCCUAAGCUGAGGCCGACAGGCGUAGGCGAUGGAUAACAGGUUGAUAUUCCUGUACCACCUAUAAUCGUUUUAAUCGAUGGGGGGACGCAGUAGNNNNNNNNNNNNNAUAGGCGAAGCGUGCGAUUGGAUUGCACGUCUAAGCAGUAAGGCUGAGUAUUAGGCAAAUCCGGUACUCGUUAAGGCUGAGCUGUGAUGGGGAGAAGACAUUGUGUCUUCGAGUCGUUGAUUUCACACUGCCGAGAAAAGCCUCUAGAUAGAAAAUAGGUGCCCGUACCGCAAACCGACACAGGUAGUCAAGAUGAGAAUUCUAAGGUGAGCGAGCGAACUCUCGUUAAGGAACUCGGCAAAAUGACCCCGUAACUUCGGGAGAAGGGGUGCUCUUUAGGGUUAACGCCCAGAAGAGCCGCAGUGAAUAGGCCCAAGCGACUGUUUAUCAAAAACACAGGUCUCUGCUAAACCGUAAGGUGAUGUAUAGGGGCUGACGCCUGCCCGGUGCUGGAAGGUUAAGAGGAGUGGUUAGCUUCUGCGAAGCUACGAAUCGAAGCCCCAGUAAACGGCGGCCGUAACUAUAACGGUCCUAAGGUAGCGAAAUUCCUUGUCGGGUAAGUUCCGACCCGCACGAAAGGCGUAACGAUUUGGGCACUGUCUCAACGAGAGACUCGGUGAAAUCAUAGUACCUGUGAAGAUGCAGGUUACCCGCGACAGGACGGAAAGACCCCGUGGAGCUUUACUGUAGCCUGAUAUUGAAAUUCGGCACAGCUUGUACAGGAUAGGUAGGAGCCUUUGAAACGUGAGCGCUAGCUUACGUGGAGGCGCUGGUGGGAUACUACCCUAGCUGUGUUGGCUUUCUAACCCGCACCACUUAUCGUGGUGGGAGACAGUGUCAGGCGGGCAGUUUGACUGGGGCGGUCGCCUCCUAAAAGGUAACGGAGGCGCUCAAAGGUUCCCUCAGAAUGGUUGGAAAUCAUUCAUAGAGUGUAAAGGCAUAAGGGAGCUUGACUGCGAGACCUACAAGUCGAGCAGGGUCGAAAGACGGACUUAGUGAUCCGGUGGUUCCGCAUGGAAGGGCCAUCGCUCAACGGAUAAAAGCUACCCCGGGGAUAACAGGCUUAUCUCCCCCAAGAGUUCACAUCGACGGGGAGGUUUGGCACCUCGAUGUCGGCUCAUCGCAUCCUGGGGCUGUAGUCGGUCCCAAGGGUUGGGCUGUUCGCCCAUUAAAGCGGUACGCGAGCUGGGUUCAGAACGUCGUGAGACAGUUCGGUCCCUAUCCGUCGUGGGCGUAGGAAAUUUGAGAGGAGCUGUCCUUAGUACGAGAGGACCGGGAUGGACAUACCUCUGGUGUACCAGUUGUCGUGCCAACGGCAUAGCUGGGUAGCUAUGUGUGGACGGGAUAAGUGCUGAAAGCAUCUAAGCAUGAAGCCCCCCUCAAGAUGAGAUUUCCCAACUUCGGUUAUAAGAUCCCUCAAAGAUGAUGAGGUUAAUAGGUUCGAGGUGGAAGCAUGGUGACAUGUGGAGCUGACGAAUACUAAUCGAUCGAAGACUUAAUCAA